CCUACGUGAGGCAGCAGUGGGGAAUAUUGCACAAUGGGGGAAACCCUGAUGCAGCGACGCCGCGUGAGUGAAGAAGUCUUUCGGUAUGUAAAGCUCUAUCAGCAGGGAAGAAAAUGACGGUACCUGAUUAAGAAGCCCCGGUUAACUACGUGCCAGCAGCCGCGGUAAUACGUAGGGGGCAAGCGUUAUCCGGAUUUACUGGGUGUAAAGGGGGGGGAGACGGCAGGACAAGUCUGGAGUGAAAUGCAGGGGCUUAACCCCGGAACUGCUGUGGAAACUGUGGAGCUAGAGUGCAGGAGAGGUAAGUGGAAUUCCUGGUGUAGCGGUGAAAUGCGUAGAUAUUAGGAGGAACACCAGUGGCGAAGGCGGCUUACUGGACUGUAACUGACGUUGAGGCUCGAAAGCGUGGGGAGCAAACAGGAUUAGAUACCCGAGUAGUC
Molecule: ribosomal RNA, 440 nt
Filed under: uncultured bacterium
Lineage: Bacteria
Description: partial 16S ribosomal RNA
Rfam family: Bacterial small subunit ribosomal RNA
Source: RNAcentral